This 253-nucleotide ribosomal RNA is filed under the name uncultured bacterium. Its description in RNAcentral is "partial 16S ribosomal RNA". It matches the Rfam family "Bacterial small subunit ribosomal RNA", at positions 524 to 776 of the family's 1533-position model. The record is from RNAcentral.
UACGUAGGGUGCAAGCGUUGUCCGGAAUUAUUGGGCGAAAAGAGCUCGUAGGCGGUCUGUCGCGUCGGCUGUGAAAACCCGGGGCUCAACCCCGGGCCUGCAGUCGAUACGGGCAGACUAGAGUGCGGUAGGGGAGACUGGAAUUCCUGGUGUAGCGGUGAAAUGCGCAGAUAUCAGGAGGAACACCGGUGGCGAAGGCGGGUCUCUGGGCCGUAACUGACGCUGAGGAGCGAAAGCGUGGGGAGCGAACAGG